Chelonia mydas (Green sea turtle) is the source of this 9049-nucleotide RNA transcript. It is a transcript of the gene named solute carrier family 4 member 8, with no coding region annotated. NCBI's taxonomy places the organism in Eukaryota, Metazoa, Chordata, Testudines, Cheloniidae. The transcript is spliced from 26 exons. The record is from RefSeq and is a predicted model, not a curated record.
AGGGAGUGGGUUGGUUCCUGUAGGAGGUAGAUCCUGGUUUAUCUUGAACUCCUUUGGUUUGGAGAAAUGAAACUCAUCCUUGAAGGAGAGGGUCUGAACGCCUGCUGCUGUGGGGAAUAUUAUUUGAUGCAGUGGCUGGUGGGUUGGCUUGGGGGCUUAUCGGCGGUGCCUCGACUGCAGAGAGUCGAUGAAGAGGCGGUGGUGGAUCAAGGUGGGACCAGUAAUGUCGUCAAUAUUCAUUAUGAGAAAGAAGAGCUGGAAGGGCACAGAACUCUGUACGUUGGGGUACGGAUGCCUUUGAUGAGACAAAGCCACAGACAUCACAGGAAUCAUGGCCAAAAACAUAGGAAACGAGACCGGGCGAAGGGAGCCAUUCAAGAAGAGCAGGAAUCUCAUGACACCCCGUCUCAGCGAGUUCAGUUUAUCCUUGGUAUGGAGGAGGAUGAGGAGCAUGUUCCCCAUGAUUUGUUCACAGAGCUGGAUGAAAUCUGUGUGAAAGAAGGGGAAGAUGCAGAAUGGAAGGAAACGGCCAGGUGGCUGAAGUUCGAAGAGGAUGUGGAGGAUGGAGGAGAACGCUGGAGCAAACCCUAUGUCGCGACGCUUUCAUUACACAGUCUCUUUGAGCUGAGGAGUUGCAUCAUGAAUGGGACUGUCCUUCUGGAUAUGUGCGCCAACAGCAUCGAGGAAAUUGCAGAUAUAAUCCUGGAUCAGCAAGAACCAAGGAGUGAGUUUGAUGAAAGCAUGAGAGAGAGACUCCGGGAUGCCCUCUUAAAAAAGCAUCAUCACCAGAAUGAGAAGAAGAGGAACAACCUCCUUCCGAUUGUCCGCUCUUUCACUGACGUCAGCAAGAAGCAGUCGGAUCCACACUUAUUGGACAAAACGGCAAUGCACACGCUGUCUCCUCAACCUGGCACUACCAAUCUAGAAGUUAAAAACGGAGUGACCCAGGACACUAGUCCUAUGGAUUUAAGCAAGGCGGAGCUUCAUUUCAUGAAGAAAAUUCCUACUGGAGCAGAAGCUUCCAACGUUCUAGUGGGAGAGUUGGAUUUCCUCCUUCGUCCCCUGGUGGUGUUCGUGCGUCUGACGCCAGCUGUCCUUCUCUCAGGCAUGACAGAAGUCCCGAUCCCAACAAGGUUCUUAUUUUUCUUGUUGGGACCAGAAGGGAAAGCACAUCAGUACCAUGAGAUUGGCAGGUCAAUGGCUACUCUCAUGACAGAUGAGAUUUUCCAUGACGUUGCUUAUAAAGCCAAAGACCGUGCUGACCUUGUAGCUGGUAUUGAUGAAUUCCUGGAUCAGGUGACGGUAUUGCCUCCUGGAGAAUGGGAUCCAUCGAUUAGAAUUGAACCACCGAAAAAUUUACCUUCCCAGGACAAGAGGAAGAUGCCAGGUGUCCCUAAUGGCACUGCUUGCCAUACUGAGCCAGAACAGCACAGUGGACCCGAACUUGAACGAACAGGAAGGCUCUUUGGUGGUUUGAUCAUGGAUGUGAAACGAAAAGCUCCUUGGUUCUGGAGUGACUUCAGGGAUGCUCUGAGCUUGCAGUGCUUGGCGUCUUUCCUCUUCCUAUAUUGUGCCUGCAUGUCCCCCGUGAUUACCUUUGGGGGGCUGCUUGGAGAAGCGACCGACGGACAAAUAAGUGCAAUAGAAUCCUUAUUUGGCGCCUCGAUGACUGGAGUUGUGUACUCUCUGUUCGCUGGACAGCCCCUCACUAUCUUAGGAAGUACCGGACCGGUGUUGGUGUUUGAAAAGAUUUUGUUCAAGUUCUGCAAAGACUACGCACUCUCCUACCUUUCCCUGAGAACGAGUAUUGGAUUGUGGACUGCUUUCCUGUGCAUCGUCCUUGUGGCAACAGACUCCAGCUCCCUAGUACGCUACAUCACUCGCUUUACUGAAGAAGCGUUUGCUUCUCUGAUCUGUAUCAUUUUCAUCUACGAAGCUCUAGAGAAACUGAUUAAGCUAGGGGCAACCUACCCCGUCCACAUGCACAGCCAGCUCGACCACCUUACCUUCUACUACUGUAAAUGUGCUGCUCCUGACAAUCCCAGCAAUCAAACCCUACAGUUCUGGAGCGACAGGAAGAUUGUCCCUUCUGCGAUUGAGUGGGCAAACCUCACUGUCAGUGAAUGUCGGAAAAUGCGUGGUGAAUUUACUGGACCUGCCUGUGGGCACCAUGGCCCCUACACACCAGAUGUCCUCUUCUGGUCUUGCAUUCUCUUCUUCACCACCUUCAUCAUGUCUGGCGCACUGAAGAUGUUUAAAACCAGCCACUAUUUCCCAACAAGAGUACGAGCCAUGAUAAGUGACUUUGCUGUUUUCUUAACUAUCGUCACUAUGGUGACUUUUGAUUUGUUAAUUGGAAUCCCAUCACCAAAGCUACAAGUUCCCAGUGUCUUCAAGCCAACAAGAGAUGACCGUGGGUGGAUUAUUAGCCCGAUAGGACCCAAUCCCUGGUGGACGGUGUUAGCAGCUCUCAUCCCAGCUCUUCUCUGCACCAUCUUGAUAUUCAUGGACCAGCAAAUCACUGCUGUUAUCAUAAACAGAAAGGAGCAUAAACUCAAGAAAGGAUGUGGCUACCACUUGGACCUUCUGAUGGUAGCAAUAAUGCUUGGUGUGUGCUCCGUUAUGGGGCUGCCCUGGUUUGUUGCUGCAACUGUUCUAUCCAUCACCCAUGUGAACAGCCUUAAACUAGAGUCUGGCUGCUCAGCUCCGGGAGAACAACCGAAAUUUCUCGGGAUACGAGAGCAAAGAGUCACUGGCCUCAUGAUCUUUGUGCUUAUGGGCUGUUCCGUCUUCAUGACUGCUGUGUUAAAGUUUAUCCCGAUGCCUGUGCUUUAUGGUGUGUUUCUUUACAUGGGCGUUUCUUCACUCGGAGGGAUUCAGUUCUUUGAUCGCCUGAAGCUGUUUGGAAUGCCCGCAAAACACCAGCCCGACUUUAUCUACUUACGGCACGUCCCCUUGCGAAAAGUACAUCUCUUCACCGUGAUCCAGCUGACGUGCCUCGUUUUACUCUGGGCCAUCAAAGCUUCUCCUGCUGCCAUCGUCUUUCCCAUGAUGGUCUUGGCUCUGGUCUUUGUCCGGCAAGUCAUGGAUUUCUGUUUCUCGAAGCGGGAGCUCAGCUGGCUCGAUGACCUCAUGCCAGAAAGCAAGAAGAAAAAACUGGAUGAUGCCAAAAAUAAAGCCAAGGAAGAAGAGGAGUCUCAGAAAAUGAUGGAAGCUGCUGAAGCAAAUGUAAUGCAGUUAUCAUUGGGGAAAACGAAAUAUAUGACUGUUCCAGGACGAAAUAACAAUACCAGGCAGAAUCAAGUGGCUGACAUGUCCUGAAAUGAAAGUGACGUGAGGUUUCUCACCCCUUCCUCAUGGGAAAACCCAUUGAAGCCAAGACCUGGUGGUGGAUGUGAAAACUAAGGGACGAUCCUGCAGAGAUAAACAUCUCAGAUGAAAUGCCUAAGACAACUGUAUGGAAAGCUCUCAGCAUGAACACAGAAAAUGUCUAAAUCCAAGCAGAAGAGUUUUCCCAUUUAGGGACCUUGACUUUGUCGGCGGGGGAGGAGAUCGUGAAGAUGACUCAGGGAUGAGCCAAGAUGUACAGACACGGGGAGAAAAUACUCUUAAAAAAACGGAGAAAGGGGGGAAAAAAACCCACCACUCUCCUCUGGUACUUUUUUCAUUCAAGUAACUGGAUUCCCAUUAAAGCCAUUCAGACAUUUUCAAUGAUCUUUGGUGUGCUUCGGUGGGCGUUUAUUCUCUUCAGACCAGCAAGCUGAGGUGGCCAUGGCAAUCGAUGACAGUUCAGUGUUAUUAAGCCUCUCUCUGUGCGUGCGUUCUGUUCUCUUUGUGGUAGAGAGAUUGCUACCGCACAGCCAUUGAGCGGUAUAGAUUUUCCAUCUGAUUUUCUUUUAAAAAUAUAAACUCUGAAUGUACAAAAUCCAUUUUUUCUGGUCUUUUUGGGCCACCCUCCAUUUACCGGUCUUCCCUUACUGGCUAUUGGGCCGGUUGGGUUCUUGGUUAAGUUUCUGCAGUGAUUUCUCUUCUCGUGUAUUUUAAUAGUUGUCACAGGUCCAUCUAGCGACAGACCCCGGGGGGCCAGUGUAAUGGGAAUAUCUUCAGCAGAUCUGGACCAAAGCUGCAAACUGGUUUUUCAGUGCACGCUCAUUUGAGUUUUUGCAAUUUUGCACACAUUCUGGCAACUAAGGCCUGGGUUCAGCAAAGCCUGCCGGCCGCGCUCGACGGUGCGAUGCCUAAUUUAGGGUGGAUGAUUGGCAGGAUUGAGGCUUCUAAGUGCCUAAAUCCCUUUUGGCAUUGAUACUUAAGCUCCUAAAUCAGUUAGAUGUUGCAACGCUGCGCAUGGCGACGCCUCUAAGUACCUUUAAAAAUCUGGGCCUUAAGGACAUUCUUAAGUCCCGUCGAAGUUCAUGGAACUUGCUUAAAAUGAAAAGCUCUCCUGAUUAUGUAAAUGAAUCCUGUGUGUUACGGUAGCCCCUAGUGGCGCUGACUAAGAUCAGGGCUCCAUUGUGCUGAAAGGGAAUCCCUGCCCCAAAGAGCUUGCAGUCUGUCUAGACAGGAGGGUCAUGCGGGCAUUGUUGCUUCUGUCGGCCGAGCUCCGUGCACACACCGGGGCUCCUUGCAUCCCUGCAUUCCUCCCCCACAAGCUCCCUGAGUACCCCCUCCCAACCCUCUCUGUUUUAGGGAGUCCCUGCAACCCCCACCUCCCUCAUGCUAGGAGUUUUGUGUACCCCCAUGCCCCCUUCCCCCCACAGACCAGGGUCCUCCAUUAAACCCCCUAUGCCAGGGGCUUUGUGUACUUCCUCUCCCCCGCCCCUCACACCAGGGUCCCCCAUUCAACCCCCAUGCCUGGGGCUCUGUGUACCCCCAUUUCCUGCUCUCCCCCAUGCCUGGGGUUCUGUGUACCGCCCUUCUGCCCUCCCUCCCAUGCCAGGGUCCCCCAUUAUUCCUGCUCCAUGCCAGGGGCUUUGGGUGUCUCCUUUUUUCUCCCCCCUCCAAAGUACCUUUCUUUCCCCCCAGAUUGGAAGGGAUGGACGGACAGCUGGGGUCCUCUCACUUUCUCUCUCCCUCCCCCUGCCCCUCAAGGAGGGAGAAAGGAAUGAAGCUGCCUUUACUCUCCCCUCUUUUUGACUCCCCCUGCUGGCUGAGCAUCUGCCCCCCGGCUGUUACACAUCUCUCUGCAAGGAGAGCAAACAGCAGCGGAAAUGGGUUUUCCAGUUUUCACCAAACUCAAUAGGGUUCUGCCCGUUGAUGCCUAGCAUGCUCCCUGAACUUUCAGAAUUGAUCGGCCGUGGCAUUCAAAAGUUAUUGCAUUACUCAGCCAGGAAUAAAACCCAGGUGCCCUACGGCCCAGUCCUGUGUUCUGUCCAUCAGGCAAUGCUUCUUUCUUGCUUGUUCGCCUGCUUAGAGUUAAGCAUGUGCCUGAGUGCUUUGCUGAAUCCGGGCCUGUGUUAACUCACGCUGUGCAUGGGAACAGGGAACAUUGCAGACGAUUCAUAAUGGUGAGUAUUCAUGCCAUAAGCCUGCUUCGAAGAAUCACCCUCGUCCCGUGAUGGGCCAGAAACAUUGGUUCUGACCUUGGAGGCCAAUCCAAAAAGCUUGAAAGCUGCAAUGAUGCGCCCCUGUGUGAGCGUCAGCCCAAGAUUUAUUCACACCAGCUCUUCAGCGAAUAGGUUCUAACCCUGCACGAUUUGGAGAAAACUGCAGUCUCGUGGUGCUCACUUCUUGGGCGGAAAGAGGCAAUGCUAAUUAAUACGUCAUCUGAAAACAAGAGCUGUCAGAUGACUGUCACAUUGUCUAGCUGUAUCAUAGUCUGGGGACUUUCUUUUUGUUAUACCGCUUGGCAGCGUAUCACAAUCAGAUCAGCUAUCAAAUCCCUUUUUGAAAUCAGGGUUCGUCUGAAGGCUGCGUUCAGCAAAGCACUUAAGCACGUAACUUUAAAUACAUCUAGUUCUGGGCAUAAGGGAAUCAUACAGGUGGAAGGGAUCUCGAGGGGCCAUCUAGUCCUUCAUCCCAGUCUGGGGCAGAACUCUCCCUCCCGUUCCCCUGGAGCAGAGGGAUUCUACAAGCCACAGAUUCAGCUGGGGAGGAUUCCACCGGUAGCACCAUAAGGCUGUCCUCUGAUGAACCCUCUGUACAUCUCUGCGGUAGAGGGCAUGCCAGAGCUGGGAAGGUUGCGUCAAAGGGCGCAGCGAUCCCAGGCAGUGCUGUGGCCCACAGCUCAGCCCUGGGAGGCUGCCGUAACUUUGACAGGCCCCCAGGGGUUUCUAAAUUACAGCAGGGGCCACUGCAGUCCCUGGUGCAGGCCAGGAUCAGAAAGGCGCAAAGGUAACAUAGCCCCACCCUCCUCUGUGCGGUGCCUCUUAGAGGCACAACCCAGAAUCUCACCUGUUGACUCUCAUGGGCCUACUCAGAUGCUUAUAAUUCAAUCAGGUGCUUAAAUACCUUGCUGAAUCAGGGCUUCAUUCUGCCCUUCUUACUCAGCCAAAACUCAGUUCCCAUCGAAUUCAAGAAGAGAGUCCCCAAAGGUUUGAUUUUUCAAGAUCAGGGCCUAUGUUUUUAAAAAGCACAUGGAUUUCUUAUUGGUGGAAUCUUUUAUGCUUAUUGCAAGCAAAUGUGACUAGUCUACGAUCCAGAGCUUUCCCAGUUUACUGACCGUCCUGCAGCGUGGAUAGAUGUUAUGGUAGCACUUACUCACCCGAACAGGACUUGAUUGUUUACUGUAAAUACUUUCGCCUGCAGUGAAACUCACUCCAAACAUAUGUCUCCUUUCUUUUAAAAUGCUUUCAUUUAUUCCGUCCAGAAUGGUUGACCUGACUGAUUAUGAUCAUCCAGAGGGCUGAAUGUGGCGCCCCGAAUUAUAAAAUGAAUGUACUUUGAUUUAUUUGCUUUGUAAAUUGCUUUUUCAGCAUCCAUGAUGUCAGUGUACAUCGCUCAUUCUCUUAAAGGAAUAGUCUCAGUGGAAAUUUCUUCUUUUAAUACAGUUGCCCGAUUUACUGUAGUAUUACGCGCCUGUGGAAAGCGUUACACAGGGGCCGAGCCUCAUUCCAGCCUCGCUGGUGUAAAUUGGGCAUAACUCCAUCAUUAUGCUGGCAUCUGAAUGGUGGAAGUGAGAUCAGAAUCAGGCCUUCUAAAUUUAGCAUAAGAAUGGGGUGAUAUGGGGGGAAAGAUUGAAUUAUUUUUGCUACCCCAAAAGAUUUGGUUGAAGAGGAACCCGUUGGGUAGUAUUUUUGGGCAGUGCUUUAUAUUGUUUUCUUGUAUCACAGUAGAGCUUUGUUAUAACCCCUUGAUCUCCACACCCAUCCUUGUGAGAUGGAAACUUUAGAACAGUCUUUUACCCGCCUAUGGUUUUUAUAUAUCAGACUGUCCAUCACUUGUAGCGCGAAAGCUUUGGAAAGGAUUUUUUUCUGUGGCUCCUGUUUCUGUGAAAAGUGAUUUUCUCCAAGGCUUGCAGGAUCAAUUCAGAGCAGCCCAAUGGCCUACAAAUAGACUAAUUUGAAAAAAAGUUCCUAGCUUGCAGCCAGUAAGUUUGGUGGGUGAGGGGGGAUCAUGAAAGUACAAACAGAUCUUGAGAAAAGAUGGUGAGGGAACCCAGAAGCCUUCUGCAGCUGGUCGACGGGACACCUGCCGGAGCGGGAAGGAAAGGAAGUUCCAUCGCAGGAGUGAUGAAAGUGCCCUGGGGUGGGAAAACUGACUUAGAAUGCCGUUUACUCGUCCCUGUUCCCUCACACACACUACCUGUAGCAAUUACAGCUAUGAACCUGCCGUGGUUCUUAUGCAAAAUCCGUGCUGGCCAGGAUCUAAAAGAGUUGGCCUGUUGGUUGCAGCUUUGGUUUCCCCUGCUGAAGCAGGGUCCUUACAGGGUACACAUUGGGAAUGUGGCUGCAUUACACCCUUCGCAACUCCUGCCUUUGCUUCUGCGGCCAGUAAGAUGUUGGCCACACAUUUACCGGCUGCCUCCAUUGGCAAGGGCUGCCUGGUUCCCUCGGGCACUUGCAUAAUGCCCUCCUUCAGCUAUUGAAUGGUAAAGAUGCUAAUAGGCUUGACUUAGUCAUCAGGCAACCGCAAUCUAUAGGGUGCUGCAGUAAGGACUAGGGUCUGAGAGAUCUAAGGCCCCUUGUCAAAAGCUGGGAAUCUCCCUCAGCCCAGAAUUCAUAGAUUGAUAGAUCAGAAGGGUCCAUUUUGAUUCUCAGUCUGAUGCAGGGGUGGGGUGGGGUUCCUGAUCGAGUCAUCCACCAAGGGCCCACUGAAGCAUAGAGAAAUUCCAGUCCUCUUCUCUGCUAAUGACCAUUAGUGGGGAGGGACCUUCAGGUCAACUGCCCUGGGAGCUGAAAAUGUGUCAGCUCAAGGAAGGAAAAGGCCAGGCCUCUGGUUCUAGCUCUGCUUUCCCUUCCCUGAUAACAGGCCGCUUGGGUUUUAUUCUCACUCCUGCCUGGCUGCGUCUGCACAGAACUCGUGGUGGUGUGGAUCCAUUAAUGUAACGUGCUAUUUUAUCCUGGACGUCUGUGCCAGUGUAACCCAUACUUAUGCAGCGAUGUAUCCAUCUGUGUCUGUCUGUGUCCCUCAAGUGGUUAGACGUUCGUGAGUCAGCUACAACCUUUGGGCUGAGGACGAGGGGGGGCGUUCUUUGCAUUCAGAUCCAGAAGCACUUGUAGGAGUAAGGACCUGCUGUAGCUGACCCGUCAAUGUCUGAAACAAGCAUCUCCUCCUUCAUUAAAUAAGACGGAAGGGAUCAUUGAGUCCAGUCUCCUGUUACCGCAUAUGAUCAUUUAUAUCAUUAUUCCAUAUAAUGAUACAAUCCAGUCUCCUGGUCACCCCAUCAUAUAACUCUAUUCAUAAAUGUAUCAAGCUCUGUGUUCAAACUAGUUAGAUUGUUUGCUCCCGCUGACCAUGCCAGGGAAGAAAAAUAUAGCAUGGAGAAAAUCCAUGAUUUUCCUGCCAUUUUAAAAAGAAAUGAGAGUUCCGUGAAAUAAUAAAAUGGCUUGUUUAUGCAAUGGUUACAAUUGUUUCUACUGGACAGGAGAACACUUAUUUCUAUAUGCUUUCU